GAAUGACUGUUCAGUGGCUGGAUUAAAAGUCUGCAGAGAGGAAUUGGACAAAGCAAGAAAACCUUUUGAUCAAGAGGACAUCUUUCCUUGAGGAACUUAAGAACUUGAUCUGGUAGCUUACGUUAGCACUGGUCUUUGCGUUGGGUGAUGACAAGAUGAAACACGUAUACUGUGAUGAAGCUGGAUCAAUACUGCCCCCUUUGUCACCAACUCUGGGAGUGACCUGGGACAAGUCGUUUCUCUGCCAACUUUGCUCAUCCCCACAGCUGUAAUCUUGCAAGGUUCCACCACCUUUCAACAUGAUCACACUGGG
Long non-coding RNA from Ochotona curzoniae (black-lipped pika), 313 nucleotides. RefSeq lists it as uncharacterized. The transcript is spliced from 3 exons. The record is from RefSeq and is a predicted model, not a curated record. NCBI's taxonomy places the organism in Eukaryota, Metazoa, Chordata, Mammalia, Lagomorpha, Ochotonidae.